Molecule: long non-coding RNA, 904 nt
Organism: Nerophis ophidion (straightnose pipefish)
Lineage: Eukaryota; Metazoa; Chordata; Actinopteri; Syngnathiformes; Syngnathidae
Exons: 3
Source: RefSeq, a predicted model, not a curated record
GGCUGCCGGAGACAUGCUUAUUGUCUCACACACACCAGGAAGUAGCUAAAACUAGCUUUCCGCUACGCCGCCAGGACUCGCUGGUACCUUGUUGCCACGGCGACGCAAAACAACAGGAUGCCAUGAGGGAAUCAGAACUACGGCUCUUCCUGUGACUCAUGCUUCCUGUUUCCUGUGUGUGUGGGCGAAGGAGCGGACGCGAGGAAGGAAAAGAGGCAAACUUCCACAUCAGCCUACUUGGUCAUCAGUGCGAGGUGCUGGUGGACAGUUGCCAUGACAACCAGACCCCUGCAGAUGCACCUCCUCUUCAUAUGACUUUGAAUGUAGGUGCGGGAUGGACGUCAGACCCAGUAAAGAUGAGAGAGAUGGCGCCCUCUGCUGGCUGCUUCACAUCACGGCAACUAAAAGAUUCACAAAGUCUGUUUAAUAAACAUUUCAACACAAUCCAACUUGAUUGUACACAUUUGAUUUAUUUAGUAAAAAAAGAAAUACAUCUAUUUGUGUGAGUGCUCCAAACAUUCACAAAUGGUUUUCUACACCAAAAUGCAUCUAUUUAUCAUUCUUCUUCUCCAGAUUUUGGCACUGUCUACUUUCCACAUUUUGUAUCCAAUUCAAACCGAUCCAACUUCCAACUGUUCAGCCUAUUUGGGAAUCGCAGGCUUUCCCCUGAAAAAUUCCCCAAAUUCCCAGGUUUUCCGGGACAUUUUUCCCAUUCAAAAUGAUUUGGGCGUUUUUCAGACUUGCAACAUUUCCACAUUUUUCAACGAUUCAAACCAUUCCACCUUCAACAUAUUCUACUCAUCCUGGACAUUCAAUCUAUCAUUUUUCCAAGUUCAAAAAAAUUCCAUCAUUGCCCAGAAUUCCUGUUUUUCAAACCCUUUAAACCGAUUUAAACAAUUCUGAA